Oryctolagus cuniculus (rabbit) is the source of this 1589-nucleotide long non-coding RNA. The record is from Ensembl. NCBI's taxonomy places the organism in Eukaryota, Metazoa, Chordata, Mammalia, Lagomorpha, Leporidae.
AUGUUCAUUUCUUCUUUAUCUUUGCAGAUCAGUCUUCAAACUUGGAUUUGUCACGGAUCCCUCUACUGGGUCCAGACGCCUCGCAAAGUUACAUACAAGGAGCUGUUUGUAAGUGACGGGACUGAGUACCAAGGGGCAAAGGAAGUCGGAGCUCACGAGAGCAGCGGAUCUGGGGAGCACCCAGCACCUCUGGCACCUGAAGAGGAAAGCCGCUGUGCGGAGGGCCUCUCGUAAGACUCAGACCUCGAGGAGACUGCGUGGCUCUGCCGCGUUGGCUGGCACAGAAGUUCACGGAGCUGCCACGCAGGAAGCACCGCGCGAGGGCACUGAGGAAAGUCGCCAGGAAACUUCCUGGGAGGCGUUCUGCCACGCUCAGGGCCCCAGCUGAAGUUUUUGCUGGAGAGCCCCUGAAACCCAAAGGGAAGCUGUCUACCUAGCACCUGUCGGAGUCAUGGGAACAGUACGUGGGAUGCUGGUGCAAACUGGCCAGAAGCUGCGCACCCGUGCUACCGUGAGUCAGUGGGACAAAGCACCGCUGGAUGUCCCGGGCACAUAGCCAACCACCAAGGGCCACACACAAAAGCCAAGGCAUAGUCCCAGCCUCCCAGAAAGGCGCUUCCCUCCUGCGGUGUCCCUGCAGCGCCCUCUGCUGGCACAAGGACUAAGGUGCCAAAGGUACCACAGAGUUGGCCAAAGAAGGAGAAAUGAACGAUUUGAUACUAAAACGGCUAAUCCAGCUUUUUAUGUUUACCUUGUUUAUCUUUUUCUGUCCACUUAUAUUUAUCCAUUUCUUUUAGCAUAAGUCUUUCAGUUGCUUUGGUUCUUGGCUUUUUUGUUUAUAUAUUUUGUCACUUUCUGGGUUUUUUAAAAAUAUUUAUUUUACCUAUUUGAAAGGCAGAAUUAGAAGGGUGCAGAGAGAGAGAGAUCUUCCAUCUGUUGGUUCACUCCCCAGAUGGCCAAAACACAGCUGGGGCUGGACCAAGAUGAAGCCAGGAGCCUGGGACCCCAUCCGGGUCUCCCACCUGGUCAUAGAGGCCCAGGUACCCAGGCUAUCAUCUUCUGCCUUCCCAGGCACAGUAGCAGAGAACUGUGUUGAAAGCAGAGUAGCCAAGACUCAAACUGGUGCUCUGGCCCGUGAUGGCAGCAUCAUGGGCAGCGACUUGAAGCCAUGGCACCAUAUGCUAACCCCCAGUUUCUGAUUUUAAUUGAAAUGUUUAGUCCAUUCAUAUUUGCAAUUAUUCAUGUGGCUGGUUUCAGGUCUGUCAGUUUACUCUUUGUCUAACAUUUACUCUUCUGUGUUUGCCUCUUUCUUUCUUUAUAGAUUUAUUUAUACCUGCGGAUUUGGGGAUUUUUUUAAAAAACAUCUUUUAGUAUUUCUUUUGUAUUUUGUCUUCUGCCUUUUCAGUUAUUUCUCUUUUCAUUGUUUCCUUUCUCUUCCUGUGAAUGUUCUAGGAUUAUAAUUUACCUCCUUAAUUUUGUCUUCUACUUGGAGUGAAUAUUGUAACACUUGUCAUAAAAUUUGGAAAACCUGUGACCCUGUGUGUUUAUAUGAAAAUAAAAACCUGAUACUUACAUAUGUCCCUAGGUAU